RNAcentral lists this transfer RNA (75 nucleotides) under Viridibacillus arvi. RNAcentral describes it as "tRNA-Asn". It matches the Rfam family "tRNA". From Rfam's summary of the family: Transfer RNA (tRNA) molecules are approximately 80 nucleotides in length. Their secondary structure includes four short double-helical elements and three loops (D, anti-codon, and T loops). RNAcentral also lists the same sequence under 15 other names. The record is from RNAcentral. Lineage: Bacteria; Bacillati; Bacillota; Bacilli; Caryophanales; Caryophanaceae.
UCCGAAGUAGCUCAGUGGUAGAGCAUCCGGCUGUUAACCGGACGGUCGUAGGUUCGAGUCCUACCUUCGGAGCCA